This 75-nucleotide transfer RNA is filed under the name Pseudomonadota bacterium. Its description in RNAcentral is "Proteobacteria bacterium (cold seep metagenome) tRNA-Thr". It matches the Rfam family "tRNA". From Rfam's summary of the family: Transfer RNA (tRNA) molecules are approximately 80 nucleotides in length. Their secondary structure includes four short double-helical elements and three loops (D, anti-codon, and T loops). The record is from RNAcentral. RNAcentral also lists the same sequence under 2 other names. Lineage: Bacteria; Pseudomonadati; Pseudomonadota.
GCCAGCGUAGCUCAGUGGUAGAGCAACUGAUUCGUAAUCAGUUGGUCGGGAGUUCGACUCUCCCCGCUGGCUCCA